ACUUUCAAAGGAUAAUAGUAAUCCAAUGGUCUUAGGAGCCACUUAUCUUGGUGCAAAUCCAAGUGAAAGUA
Molecule: transfer RNA, 71 nt
Filed under: Hyliota flavigaster
Lineage: Eukaryota; Metazoa; Chordata; Aves; Passeriformes; Hyliotidae
Also listed under: 4 other names
Description: tRNA-Leu
Rfam family: tRNA
About the family: Transfer RNA (tRNA) molecules are approximately 80 nucleotides in length. Their secondary structure includes four short double-helical elements and three loops (D, anti-codon, and T loops).
Source: RNAcentral